Molecule: transfer-messenger RNA, 335 nt
Filed under: Alphaproteobacteria bacterium
Lineage: Bacteria; Pseudomonadati; Pseudomonadota; Alphaproteobacteria
Rfam family: Alphaproteobacteria transfer-messenger RNA
About the family: Bacterial tmRNA, also known as 10Sa RNA or SsrA, is named for its dual tRNA and mRNA-like properties. Its role is to liberate the mRNA from a stalled ribosome.
Source: RNAcentral
UCGUUUGAUCUUUGCAUUUAAUACAUGUAUAUUAAAUAUGUUGGUUUAGGCCAACUAUGAUGAUAAACGAUGUGCGGAAUAAAUGGAGCGGACCCGGGGGCGGUACCCGGCGCCUCCACCACUCUUACUGAGGGGGCGAAAUAGGAUCGACGCACAUAAUAAAGGCACGAUCUUUCAUCCGGCAUGGUAUCCGCCGUUAUCGGGCUAAUUUGAUAAAUGCCAAAACUACAAAGGCACGUCGCGUAACUGCUGCUAACUGCAAUGCUGAAAAGGUUGCAAGAGCCGCAUAACGCGAAGCGGUUUGGGGGGCACCGGGCAACAGAAAGCCCCCCGCU